AUGGAGCAAGAAGCGCCCGCCACGACGACGGAGCGCGUGCGAGAUGUGACCCUCCGGCUGCUCGACCUCGCCGACGCCGACGCCAUGAUGGCGUGGGUGUCGGAUCCCGAGGUCACGACCUUCAUGACGUGGGACCCCUACACGUCCCGCGACGCCCUGCUCGCGUUCCUCCGGGACGCCGCGCUGCCGCACCCCUGGUUCCGCGCCGUAUGCCUCCCCGGCGGCGACCACCCCGUCGGCUCGGUGUCCGUGUCGCCGACGGCGGACGCGUGCCGCGCCGAGCUCGGGUACAUGGUGGCGCGUGCGCACUGGGGCAAGGGCGUGGCCACGGCCGCCGUGAGGCGAGCGCGCGUGGAGGCGCUGGUGGAUGUGCGCAACGUCGCGUCGCAGCGCAUGCUGGAGAAGGCCAGGUUCCGGCAGGAGGCCGUGCUGCGGAGGUACUGCGUGGUCAAGGGCGCCGUCAGGGACAUGGCCAUCUACAGCUUCAUCUCCACGGAUGCACUGCUCGUUUAA
Molecule: ribosomal RNA, 513 nt
Filed under: Triticum aestivum (bread wheat)
Lineage: Eukaryota; Viridiplantae; Streptophyta; Magnoliopsida; Poales; Poaceae
Description: partial small subunit ribosomal RNA
Source: RNAcentral